AUGAUAGGCCUAAGCUGGAACUGCCGAGGAAUCAGGGGCGCCUCGACAGUUCGUGAUCUCACUGCCCUCGUUCAGUGUCAUCAUCCACAGUUUGUGUUUUUGUGUGAAACUCGGCAAAGUGCGAAAAAUAUCAGCCGUCUUCGUUCUCGGUUAGGUCUUCGUGGUUUUUGUGGAAUUGAUAGUGUGGGUCAAAGUGGUAGCCUUGCUCUGUUUUGGAAUGAUCAAUUAUCAGUUGAGAUAAAGGAGAAGAAAGAGAGGUUUAUUGAUGCUCAUAUUCGUGCUUCCUCAACUGAUCCCUUUUGGCAUUUAACUUGUGUGUAUGGUGAACCGCGUACUGAAAACCGUCAUCGGAUGUGGACCAUCUUGUCUGACAUCCGAGCAUCGAGCGACCUUCCGUGGAUGCUCAUGGGAGAUUUUAAUGAAGCUAUGUGA
Molecule: ribosomal RNA, 432 nt
Filed under: Triticum aestivum (bread wheat)
Lineage: Eukaryota; Viridiplantae; Streptophyta; Magnoliopsida; Poales; Poaceae
Description: partial small subunit ribosomal RNA
Source: RNAcentral